RNAcentral lists this ribosomal RNA (421 nucleotides) under uncultured bacterium. RNAcentral describes it as "partial 16S ribosomal RNA". It matches the Rfam family "Bacterial small subunit ribosomal RNA", at positions 360 to 773 of the family's 1533-position model. The record is from RNAcentral.
AAUAAUGGACACUCGGCGAAAGCCUGCUCCAGCCAUCCCGCGCGUGUGAAGAAGGUCUUCGGAUUGUUUGGCACGUUUAGUUCUGGGGAAGGGUUGUAGGUUAAUACCUUGCACUUUUGCCGUUACUCACAGAAUAAGCCCCGGCUAACUUCGUUCCAGCAGCCGCGGUAAUACGAAGGGUGCAAGCGUUAAUCGGAAUUACUGGGCGUAAAGCGCGCGUAGGUGGUUCGUUAAGUUGGAAGUGAAAGCCCCGGGAUUAAGCUGGGAAUUGCUUUCAAAACUGACGAGCUAGAGUACGGUAGAGGGUAGUGGAAUUUCCUGUGUAGCGGUGAAAUGCGUAGAUAUAGGAAGGAACAUCAGUGGCGAAGGCGACUACCUGGACUGAUACUGACACUGAGGUGCGAAAGCGUGGGGAGCAAAC